This is an RNA transcript of Cannabis sativa, 1109 nucleotides long. RefSeq lists it as uncharacterized. The record is from RefSeq and is a predicted model, not a curated record. The transcript is spliced from 4 exons. Lineage: Eukaryota; Viridiplantae; Streptophyta; Magnoliopsida; Rosales; Cannabaceae.
CGGCUUACCAAACGAGUAGUGAACAUGUAUGCUGAAGAGAAUCGGUGGAAAGAGGUUUCAAAGAUAUGGACAACAAUGAAGGGCCUUGGAGUGGAAAAGAGAUGUCCUGGGUCCAGUUGGAUUGAAAUACAAAGCAAAAUUCACCAGUUUGCUGCAUCUGAGAAUGCUCAUUUAGCUUGUCCCGAAGUCUACAAGCUGUUGGGUGAAUUAGAUGGACAAAUUAAACUCUCUGGCUUUAUACUAGAACUCAGUUUUACCUAAAGAGAGACAAACUUAAUGUUUAGAUAUUACUCAGGCUGGAGAGGAUGAUGAAAUGGGGUAGCUAAUAUGACAGCAUCUUUUACGCUAUAGCUUUAAAAAUAGUUGUAGUACACACACACUGACUCUGCUGCAGACAGACAAAGCAAGUGUAGAAGAACCAUUCUAACAUGACUGAUGCUUAGUUGGCAAUUCUUCUUGUAAGCCCUUGUUAGCCUAAAUAUAGCCACUACUUAAAUGAAGCAAUUGACCGAUUGAAGAACAAACUUAUUCUUUCUUGAAUAGGAAACUACCCUGGUAUUAAAAUUGAUUCUGAGGAAAAAAUUGCCAACUUAGAAGUUUCUGCCUUAGGGGUUGAUUCUAAGCUAAAGUUAGAUGCAAUGAAAGUUAUGGGAACCCACAACUAUUAUCAUGCUGCUGUUGUUGGACUGGGAAUUGGAGUCGAUGUUGAAGCCAUUGGUUCAACUAUUGAAAAGCUAAGGCUGCCUCUUCACCGUAUGCAAAUUGUGUGCAAUGAUAACCACGGGAUUACAUGGGUAAAUGACAGUAAAGCAACCAAUUUUGAUGCAACAUAUGCAGGACUAAUGGGUCUAAAGGGGCGAAAGUCUUGUUAUGUCCAUUGUGCCAUCAGACAGAGGAGUCAAUAGUCCAGAUUUUGGUUAAGCGUGCUUUUGCUGGGUCUUGUUGGACCUGAUCUGGUGUUAGCAUUGGUGAUCUUUCUGGUGUAUUGUUUUCUAAUUUUCUAAUUUUUGGGUCGGAGACAUUGAAAUUAAGAAUUUAUUUUUUGAAACUUCGAACAUUGUUUUCUUUUUUUCUCCUUCCAAUGUAUGAUGUUUUUAUUUCAUACUUUA